GACGAAGGAUGCAAGCGUUAUCCGGAUUCAUUGGGUUUAAAGGGAGCGUAGGUGGACUGAUAAGUCAGUGGUGAAAUCUUCGAGCUUAACUCGGAAACUGCCAUUGAUACUAUUUGUCUUGAAUACUUUGGAGGUAAGCGGAAUAUGUCAUGUAGCGGUGAAAUGCUUAGAUAUGACAUAGAACACCAAUUGCGAAGGCAGCUUACUACACAGUUAUUGACACUGAGGCACGAAAGCGUGGGGAUCAAACAGG
Molecule: ribosomal RNA, 253 nt
Filed under: uncultured bacterium
Lineage: Bacteria
Description: partial 16S ribosomal RNA
Rfam family: Bacterial small subunit ribosomal RNA
Source: RNAcentral